CCUACGGGAGGCAGCAGUGAGGAAUAUUGGUCAAUGGACGAGAGUCUGAACCAGCCAAGUAGCGUGAAGGAUGACUGCCCUAUGGGUUGUAAACUUCUUUUAUAAAGGAAUAAAACGAGGCACGUGUGCCUUGUUGCAUGUACUUUAUGAAUAAGGAUCGGCUAACUCCGUGCCAGCAGCCGCGGUAAUACGGAGGAUCCGAGCGUUAUCCGGAUUUAUUGGGUUUAAAGGGAGCGUAGAUGGGUUGUUAAGUCAGUUGUGAAAGUUUGCGGCUCAACUGUAAAAUUGCAAUUGAGACUGGCAGUCUUGAGUACAGUUGAGGUCGGCGGAAUUCGUGGUGUAGCGGUGAAAUGCUUAGAUAUCACGAAGAACCCCGAUCGCGAAGGCAGCUUACUAAACUGUGACUGACAUUGAUGCUCGAAAGUGUGGGUAUCAAACAGGAUUAGAUACCCCAGUAGUC
This 460-nucleotide ribosomal RNA is filed under the name uncultured bacterium. Its description in RNAcentral is "partial 16S ribosomal RNA". It matches the Rfam family "Bacterial small subunit ribosomal RNA", at positions 338 to 795 of the family's 1533-position model. The record is from RNAcentral.